UACGUAGGUGGCAAGCGUUGUCCGGAUUUACUGGGCGUAAAGAGCGCGUAGGCGGUCGUUCAAGUCGCGUGUGAAAGCCCCCGGCUCAACUGGGGAGGGUCACGCGAUACUGAUCGACUCGAAGGCAGGAGAGGGUAGUGGAAUUCCCGGUGUAGUGGUGAAAUGCGUAGAUAUCGGGAGGAACACCAGUGGCGAAGGCGACUACCUGGCCUGUUUCUUGACGCUGAGGCGCGAAAGCUAGGGGAGCAAACGGG
RNAcentral lists this ribosomal RNA (254 nucleotides) under uncultured bacterium. RNAcentral's name for it is "partial 16S ribosomal RNA". It matches the Rfam family "Bacterial small subunit ribosomal RNA", at positions 524 to 776 of the family's 1533-position model. The record is from RNAcentral.